GGGGGUGUAGCUCAUCGGUAGAGCGCUCGCUUUGCAUGUGAGAGGCACAGGGUUCGACACCCUGCACUUCCA
This 72-nucleotide transfer RNA is filed under the name Lupinus angustifolius (narrow-leaved blue lupine). It matches the Rfam family "tRNA". From Rfam's summary of the family: Transfer RNA (tRNA) molecules are approximately 80 nucleotides in length. Their secondary structure includes four short double-helical elements and three loops (D, anti-codon, and T loops). The record is from Rfam by way of RNAcentral. Lineage: Eukaryota; Viridiplantae; Streptophyta; Magnoliopsida; Fabales; Fabaceae. RNAcentral also lists the same sequence under 1 other name.